Molecule: long non-coding RNA, 440 nt
Filed under: Ursus americanus (American black bear)
Lineage: Eukaryota; Metazoa; Chordata; Mammalia; Carnivora; Ursidae
Description: lncRNA (ENSUAMG00000000156.1)
Source: RNAcentral
UGUUUCUAAAAAUGUUUUAUAUAGGAUAAAAAACAAGGAAAAAGGAAAAAGAAGAAGAAGAAUCGUUCACAUAAAUCUUCUGAAAGCUCCAUGUCAGAAACUGAAUCGGACAGUAAGGAUAGUUUAAAAAAGAAAAAGAAGUCAAAGGAUGCAACUGAGAAAGAAAAGGACAUUAAAGGACUCAGCAAAAAAAGAAAGAUGUAUCCUGAAGAUAAACCUUUAUCAUCUGAGUCCUUAUCAGAAUCGGAUUAUAUUGAGGAGGUACGAGCAAAAAAGAAGAAAAGCAGUGAAGAACGAGAAAAAGUAAUAGCAAGUAUCACUUAUAUUUUUUACGUGAUGGUAGUGUAGCUCUGUUCGUUUAAUAUAAAAUGAAUCAUGGUAAAGCAUGACUUCAUUUACUGGGGCCAAAUAAAUAUUUAUUGGGAAAAGUGUGGUGUUCA